RNAcentral lists this ribosomal RNA (496 nucleotides) under uncultured bacterium. RNAcentral's name for it is "partial 16S ribosomal RNA". It matches the Rfam family "Bacterial small subunit ribosomal RNA", at positions 29 to 507 of the family's 1533-position model. The record is from RNAcentral.
AUGCACGCUGGCGGCGUGCCUAAUACAUGCAAGUAGAACGCUGAAGGAAGGAGCUUGCUCUUUCCGGAUGAGUUGCGAACGGGUGAGUAACGCGUAGGUAACCUGCCUGGUAGCGGGGGAUAACUAUUGGAAACGAUAGCUAAUACCGCAUAACAGUAGAUGUUGCAUGAUAUCUACUUAAAAGGUGCAAUUGCACCACUACCAGAUGGACCUGCGUUGUAUUAGCUAGUUGGUGAGGUAACGGCUCACCAAGGCGACGAUACAUAGCCGACCUGAGAGGGUGAUCGGCCACACUGGGACUGAGACACGGCCCAGACUCCUACGGGAGGCAGCAGUAGGGAAUCUUCGGCAAUGGACGGAAGUCUGACCGAGCAACGCCGCGUGAGUGAAGAAGGUUUUCGGAUCGUAAAGCUCUGUUGUAAGAGAAGAACGAGUGUGAGAGUGGAAAGUUCACACUGUGACGGUAUCUUACCAGAAAGGGACGGCUAACUACGUG